GCCAGGCGCAGUGGCUCACAUCUGUAAUCCCAGCACUUCAGGAGGCCAAGGCGGGUGGAUCACGAGGUCAGGAGUUCAAGACCAGUCUGGCCAACAUAAUGAAACCCCGUCUCUACUAAAAAUACACAAAAAGUUAGCCAGGCGUGGUGGUGUGCGCUUGUAAUCCCAGCUACUCAGGGGGCUGAGGCAGGAGAAUCGUGUGAACCCGGGAGGCGGNNNNNNNNNNUCACACGAUUCUCCUGCCUCAGCCCCCUGAGUAGCUGGGAUUACAAGCGCACACCACCACGCCUGGCUAACUUUUUGUGUAUUUUUAGUAGAGACGGGGUUUCAUUAUGUUGGCCAGACUGGUCUUGAACUCCUGACCUCGUGAUCCACCCGCCUUGGC
Molecule: non-coding RNA, 385 nt
Organism: Gorilla gorilla gorilla (western lowland gorilla)
Lineage: Eukaryota; Metazoa; Chordata; Mammalia; Primates; Hominidae
Source: Rfam